GGGGGGGGGGGGGCUCGGACAGUUUGUGAUCUUGUGAGUCUUGUAUAGGCUCAUUCCCCUAGCAUUGUUUUUCUUUGUGAAACUAGACAAUCCAAGAAUAAGAUGAGUAGGUACCGUGCUCGAUUAGGUUUGAAAGGUUUUGAUGCCUCUAAUAGUGUUGGUCUUAGUGAAGGUCUUGCUUUGUAUUGGCAUGAGUCUUUGAGUUUGGAUGUAAAACAAUAA
This 222-nucleotide ribosomal RNA is filed under the name Triticum aestivum (bread wheat). Its description in RNAcentral is "partial small subunit ribosomal RNA". Lineage: Eukaryota; Viridiplantae; Streptophyta; Magnoliopsida; Poales; Poaceae. The record is from RNAcentral.